GACGAACGCUGGCGGCGUGCUUAACACAUGCAAGUCGUACGGUAAGGCCCUUUUGGGGGUACACGAGUGGCGAACGGGUGAGUAACACGUGAGUAACCUGCCCACAACUUUUGGAUAACGCUAGGAGACUGGUGCUCAUACUGGAUAUGUGCUCCUGCUGCAUGGUGGGGGUUGGGAAGCUCCGGCGGUUGUGGAUGGACUCGCGGCCUAUCAGCUUGUUGGUGGGGUAGUGGCCUACCAAGGCGGCGACGGGUAGCCGGCCUGAGAGGGUGACCGGCCACAUUGGGACUGAGAUACGGCCCAGACUCCUACGGGAGGCAGCAGUGGGGAAUAUUGCACAAUGGGCGCAAGCCUGAUGCAGCAACGCCGCGUGCGGGAUGACGGCCUUCGGGUUGUAAACCGCUUUCAGCAGGGACGAAGCUUUUUGUGACGGUACCUGCAGAAGAAGCACCGGCUAACUACGUG
RNAcentral lists this ribosomal RNA (465 nucleotides) under uncultured bacterium. RNAcentral describes it as "partial 16S ribosomal RNA". It matches the Rfam family "Bacterial small subunit ribosomal RNA", at positions 28 to 507 of the family's 1533-position model. The record is from RNAcentral.